CCUACGGGUGGCUGCAGUGGGGAAUAUUGCACAAUGGGCGCAAGCCUGAUGCAGCCAUGCCGCGUGUGUGAAGAAGGCCUUCGGGUUGUAAAGCACUUUCAGCGGGGAGGGAGGCGGUGAGGUUAAUAACCUCAUCGAUUGACGUUACCCGCAGAAGAAGCACCGGCUAACUCCGUGCCAGCAGCCGCGGUAAUACGGAGGGUGCAAGCGUUAAUCGGAAUUACUGGGCGUAAAGCGCACGCAGGCGGUCGGUCAAGUCGGAUGUGAAAUCCCCGGGCUCAACCUGGGAACUGCAUUCGAAACUGGCAGGCUAGAGUCUUGUAGAGGGGGGUAGAAUUCCAGGUGUAGCGGUGAAUUGCGUAGAGAUCUGGAGGAAUACCGGUGGCGAAGGCGGCCCCCUGGACAAAGACUGACGCUCAGGUGCGAAAGCGUGGGGAGCAAACAGGAUUAGAUACCCGAGUAGUC
This 465-nucleotide ribosomal RNA is filed under the name uncultured Klebsiella sp. RNAcentral's name for it is "bacterial SSU rRNA". It matches the Rfam family "Bacterial small subunit ribosomal RNA", at positions 338 to 795 of the family's 1533-position model. Lineage: Bacteria; Pseudomonadati; Pseudomonadota; Gammaproteobacteria; Enterobacterales; Enterobacteriaceae. The record is from RNAcentral.